ACUGCUCAGUAACACGUGGAUAACCUGCCCUUGGGUCCGGCAUAACCCCGGGAAACUGGGGAUAAUUCCGGAUAACGCACAUAUGCUGGAAUGCUUUAUGCGUAAAAUGGAUUCGUCUGCCCAAGGAUGGGUCUGCGGCCUAUCAGGUAGUAGUGGGUGUAAUGUACCUACUAGCCUACAACGGGUACGGGUUGUGAGAGCAAGAGCCCGGAGAUGGAUUCUGAGACAUGAAUCCAGGCCCUACGGGGCGCAGCAGGCGCGAAAACUUUACAAUGCGGGAAACCGUGAUAAGGGGACACCGAGUGCCAGCAUCAUAUGCUGGCUGUCCAGGUGUGUAAAAUACACCUGUUAGCAAGGGCCGGGCAAGACCGGUGCCAGCCGCCGCGGUAACACCGGCGGCCCGAGUGGUGAUCGUGAUUAUUGGGUCUAAAGGGUCCGUAGCCGGUUUGGUCAGUCCUCCGGGAAAUCUGACGGCUUAACCGUUAGGCUUUCGGGGGAUACUGCCAGGCUUGGAACCGGGAGAGGUAAGAGGUACUACAGGGGUAAGAGUGAAAUCUUGUAAUCCCUGUGGGACCACCUGUGGCGAAGGCGUCUUACCAGAACGGGUUCGACGGUGAGGGACGAAAGCUGGGGGCACGAACCGGAUUAGAUACCCGGGUAGUCCCAGCCGUAAACGAUGCUCGCUAGGUGUCAGGCAUGGCGCGACCGUGUCUGGUGCCGCAGGGAAGCCGUGAAGCGAGCCACCUGGGAAGUACGGCCGCAAGGCUGAAACUUAAAGGAAUUGGCGGGGGAGCAC
This 796-nucleotide ribosomal RNA is filed under the name uncultured archaeon. Its description in RNAcentral is "bacterial SSU rRNA". It matches the Rfam family "Archaeal small subunit ribosomal RNA", at positions 85 to 879 of the family's 1478-position model. The record is from RNAcentral.